Molecule: unclassified non-coding RNA, 244 nt
Filed under: Hevea brasiliensis (rubber tree)
Lineage: Eukaryota; Viridiplantae; Streptophyta; Magnoliopsida; Malpighiales; Euphorbiaceae
Source: RNAcentral
GUUCUUGGUCCGGUAUGCCCCACAAAUUCUCCAACCAGAUCAGUUCUUUGCACUUCAGUUACCUUGUCGGUGGGAAGAAUUCCUACCAUAUGCAGUAGUCGGCCAAGGAUUCGAGCUACCAUGGUCUUACCUGUUCCCGGGUUACCCAGAAAAGCCAUAUGAGGCGUCUUUCUAGGAGCAACACUUAAUCCCAUAGCUCGUCUCUUCUCAUCAAACAGCAUCCCCCUGGCCCACUUAUGCAAUU